This is a long non-coding RNA of Dromaius novaehollandiae (emu), 367 nucleotides long. RefSeq lists it as uncharacterized. The transcript is spliced from 3 exons. NCBI's taxonomy places the organism in Eukaryota, Metazoa, Chordata, Aves, Casuariiformes, Dromaiidae. The record is from RefSeq and is a predicted model, not a curated record.
AGACACCUAAGACAUGAUGGUGGCAGGAGAGCCGAAAGGAAGCGAGGGUGUCUGGAAGGGAGUCAUGCAUGCUGCCACGUCCAUGAGGUGUUGGGGAGACAACGAGGAGAGGAGUGAUCUCUUCCAGGAGAUGACAAGAGAAAAAGAAAAAGAUUGCUUGCCUCUUGCAGAGAUACAAAACAGAUUGUAAGGCCAGACUACACCCAGGAUGAGAGAUGUUGGACCAGUCUUUGCUUCUAGUAGCCACAUCCUGCCUCUUACGGGACCCCUCUGGAGAUCACACCAAAUCUGUGUUCGUAUAACACAAAUGAAGACUCUGCCUAAAAAGCAAGUAAGUGUUCCCUUUGAGUAGUAGGCACCUGGGGAA